CCCGGCCCCGCGGGACCCACGACUGGGGGGAGGAGACACGGGUCUGUGCAGUGGGGCAUGCCGGAAAUUGCGUUUAAAGUUCCUUCUGUGACAAAUGACCUUUGAGAGAGGCAUGUCCAGUGUCAGCACUGAAGUGUGUUCUAUUCUCAGAUUUCAGAAUUUCAAGAGAAACACAGGAAGAGGUUGUUAGCCUUCUAUAGAGAAAAGAUCUUGAGGUUGGAGGAGUCCCUCAGGAGGUCAGUGCUGCAGAAGGAUCAUCUCCACAGGCUGGAGUCCAUGGAAGUUGAUCUUACUCCUUCCCCAGUGAGAAAAGUAAGUACAGUUAUUCACUCCUUUGCUUAUUUGCCAGACGCCAGAAAAGGGGUUUUACGUUUUU
This 376-nucleotide long non-coding RNA is filed under the name Dasypus novemcinctus (nine-banded armadillo). Its description in RNAcentral is "lncRNA (ENSDNOG00000052875.1)". Lineage: Eukaryota; Metazoa; Chordata; Mammalia; Cingulata; Dasypodidae. The record is from RNAcentral.